GAUGAACGCUGGCGGCGUGCCUAAUACAUGCAAGUCGAGCGAACGGACGAGAAGAUUGCUUCUCUGAUGUUAGCGGCGGACGGGUGAGUAACACGUGGAUAACCUACCUAUAAGACUGGGAUAACUUCGGGAAACCGGAGCUAAUACCGGAUAAUAUUUUGAACCGCAUGGUUCAAAAGUGAAAGACGGUCUUGCUGUCACUUAUAGAUGGAUCCGCGCUGCAUUAGCUAGUUGGUAAGGUAACGGCUUACCAAGGCAACGAUGCAUAGCCGACCUGAGAGGGGGAUCGGCGACACGAGAACGUGGCCACGGUCCAGACGCCUACGGGAGGCAGCAGUAGGGAAUGUUACGCAGAGGGGGAAAACCUGGCGGAGCGAGGCCGAGUGAGUGGUGAAGGUCUUCGGAGCGUAAAACUCUGUUAUUAGGGAAGAACAUAUGUGGAAGGAACUGUGCACAUCUUGACGGUACCUAAUCAGAAAGCAACGGCUAACUACGUG
Molecule: ribosomal RNA, 497 nt
Filed under: uncultured bacterium
Lineage: Bacteria
Description: partial 16S ribosomal RNA
Rfam family: Bacterial small subunit ribosomal RNA
Source: RNAcentral